CUGAAGUCUGGUUUUGCUCCUAUUAUUUUUUAUAAAAUUGCCUUCUAAUUAGUGCAAGACACGUCUACAUUUGGGAAGCCAUUCAGUGUACAGAUUUAGAGCAACAGAUGCACAUGUGUCAGACGUACAGUGUACAAGUAAACUGUUUGUGUUAUUAUCUAUGUCUUGGUAUUUAAAUGUUGGGUCACUUAUCUAAAAAAGGCGAGCUAUUGUUCUCACAUUUGCAUGUGUCUUGCAUGGGCAAAAUGUUGCCUAGACAUUGCUCUUAAAUGUUGUCCUAAUAAUCUCAGCUGCAUUGUAAACCGUUCCUACACAUAGUGCCUUAAAUAUUUGAGGUUGUUAAUGUUACUGCAUAUAUAUAAAUGUUGAGGACUGCAGCACUUAAAAUUCAGAUCUGCUGAUUUUUUUGAUAGAGUGAUGUUCAUUUUUGGUUUUGUGUGGUAUAGUUUUUGGUAGUGGGUGUUUUUUCCUUAUCAAGAGGGCAGCAUGUUUUGCUAUGGCCAAAUUCUGCUGUCUAAUUUUUUUUUUAAUGAUCUAGCUUCAAAAAAAAUCAAGCAGUUAGUAAUGCUUAUGAAAAGUUGAUUCAGUAUCUUAUGAAUAGGUGAUAAGUAAACUCUCACAACUCAGCAUUUUAUACCGCUUAGUAGAACUGCAGUACAAUCCAAGGAGUUUAUUUUGGAAGGAUUCAGUCUAAGUGGAUUUCCUAAAAUGUUUAGAAGUGUAGUAGGUGUGAUGUGGACUAGGUAAGGAAAGGAAGUACAAAAUGCUCGUUGAUUCAUGAUGUGGUUUCAUCUUAGCUUGAGCAAACCAUGCAGUAUUUAAUAAAUAGUAGCAGAAUAUUUACUAUUGAAGCUUGAAAAGAUGUGAGUCCUUUGUGUGAAAUCUUUCAUUAUGCAUGUGAGAGCUUUUAACCGUUUUACACGAUGGUGUUUGUUUUUCGCCUGUUGGUGGUGUGUGCUUAUUUAAUACAUUCCGUCAGGGACAAGAAAUUUUUUGUGCUUUUUUUUUUUCCCACAAAGUGUGUCUUGGGUUUCUUUUUCUUCUUGUGUGUGUGUGUGAUUGUGUGUGUGUGUGUGUGAUUGUGUGUGGUUCUGUCUAAAUGAAGUUGCUUUUGCAGCACCAAAGACUUAAUCAUCCAUUUUCUAUAAAAAGGUAGCUACUUUUUGCAUAGACCUCAAGUAUAUCAUAGUUUAGAGAUGGGAUUUAGGGAAAGAUAUUAAAAUGAGGCUGUGUUUUAGCUUAUGGGCAAGUAAUAAAUUGUAUCAUUUAUCUUGAAUGUAUCAUAGAUAAGCUGCUAUAUAAUGAUUGCCACUUCAGAUAGCUGUGAAAUUAGAUGAUUAACUAGUUCUUGUUUAGCUUUCUAAUUUCUGUAUAAGUCUGAUUGAAUGAAAUAGAAGUGGGGAUUUUGAUUUAUACUUUGCUUUCUUGUUUGGCGUGUCAUUGUAACUACUGUAUUGUAAAUGAUGGAAGAUGAUUGCCUAUGUUAUUUUGGGGUGUGUUACUUGCAUCAGUAUUUUAUCAACAUUAACUUUGGAGCUCAUCGCUGCAUAUAAAUGGAAUAUAUCAAUGUAACUUAAUUAUUUUUACGUUUUCAUACUGGCAUUGCGUAGACACUUGAGAAGCUGUAUCUUGCAGGCUUGACUUAACUUUCUUUUUAAGAAACAAAAUCUGGAACACAGUCUUUAGAGCAUUUACUGGAAUAAACAGUGCAAACAAAGCAUUUGAGUUUAAAUUCCCCAAAUGUUUUGAAAUUAGAGUAUUUCUUUGAAUGAAUGAAUUUCAUACCACUAGUACAGCUGUCUUACCGAAUUGUCAGUAAGCUAAUAAGGGAUAUAUUUUUCUUUACUCCAUUAACACAAGCAGUGUUUUAUUUAAUAAAUAUUUAGGUGAAAUAAAUGUGCCUAAAAUUGAUUUUUAAACAAAAACAAACAACAGUAUUAGAUCACAAAAUAAUACCAGCAGUACAUUUUUAGAUACACUGAAAAUGAAGGAGCCUAAUUUUUCCCACAAGUUUCAGUGUUUUUAGUAAUCAACUAACUCUAUGCAUUUUAUACAAAGAUAAUUGUAUAUAAAACAAACAUCGGAAAAUGAGUAGCCUGAGAUGAAUUUAAAUAUAAUUUACACUUGUAAACAAGCAUAAAUUUAUGGAGUCAAGAAAAUAUUUAAAUGAACUUGUCAUAUACCUUCACAGUCUUAUUUUAUUUAUAUGAUUCAGCAGAUUGUUGAUUUCAGCUGCUUGGUCCUGGGAAUCAGAUUUCUCAAUGCAAAAAUCCAUUGCUGGCAGUGGUUGUGUUGGGACACCAACAGUAACUGUUUUCUUUUUGUUUGGGGCCAUGCAACUUUCAUUGCUCUGAUGUAUUUUGUUUUUUCUGUGUUUUUAAGUAGUAAGGCUGUGAUGGCAUUACAUUGACAAGUAAACUCAAAACCUUAAUGUUGUCUUAUAAUACAAUAACAUUUGUUAAAGAUUUCCCCCAGUUAAGUAUGCUACUCUUUAUGGAAUGUAAUCAUGGAAAUCUUUUGCAUUUUAAAGAAAUGCAAAAAUCUUUGGAAAUUCUUUCAUCUAAAUUAAACAAGUGGAUUUUUUUAAAAAAAAACUUCUGAAAAAAUAUUACCCUUCUUUAGAACCAUUUAUAAACAUUUUCUUUGUUGGUUUUAAUGCCUUUUUAAAUAAAACACUGCAUGACUACAGAGUUGCAUAUUUGCAUACUAUUUUUAAUUUGCAAAUUAUUUUUAUAAAAAUGCCUGAUCAAUUUUUAUCUUUCAGGGUGUUUAAUCAAAUAUGCUACUGUAUCAGCUAAAUCUUUUGAUUUUAAUGUUUUAAAUUUCUACUGCUAAUUUUAACUUGAUUUUUGUUAUGUAAAAGUUAAAUCACACUGCAAGGUGUAGGAAGAUAUUAUUUGAAUAAACCCAAUGAUGUAGACUUGAUUACUGAAUUUUAACUGUUACCUGUGUAACAAUUUAUUUCUAUGCUACACUAGUUUGUCAUGUAGCAGUUGCACUGUGCAAUAUUACAAUAAGGACUGGGAAAAAAAAUUUUUAUGGCUGUAAUGUGUCUUAGAGUUUGCGAUAGUAUUUCUCUCUAGUUCUCAGUGAUUUCAAUGUGACCAAGCCUUCUGUACUUUGUCACAAAAAGCGGGUUUUCCAAGUGACUAUUUUGGUGAGUGUCAAAAAUAAGAAUUUCUGGUGUAUCACUGUCAAGACUCACUUUGAAUUAAAACAUACAUCGCAGCAAACAUUGGGCCGACUUUUAUUUCCGCCAACAAAAAUAAUGCUUACAUACUUAAAUGAGGUCUUAUUCCCUUUAAGGCAGUCACAAAUUUGUUUGGUAAUUUGGUACCAAUACUAUAGGGAGAAUCAGGUUUGUGAAGUUUUCUUGGUGCCAAGGCCAUUGCUAAAAACUACUAUGGAAUUGAGGUCCAGGAAUAUUUCAACUUGUUCUUUUUUAUUUUUUUUAUUUUUCUGGGAUUGUAGAAGAAAUCACUUGUCUGAUCCAUA
Molecule: long non-coding RNA, 3495 nt
Organism: Sarcophilus harrisii (Tasmanian devil)
Lineage: Eukaryota; Metazoa; Chordata; Mammalia; Dasyuromorphia; Dasyuridae
Source: Ensembl